RNAcentral lists this ribosomal RNA (253 nucleotides) under uncultured bacterium. RNAcentral describes it as "partial 16S ribosomal RNA". It matches the Rfam family "Bacterial small subunit ribosomal RNA", at positions 524 to 776 of the family's 1533-position model. The record is from RNAcentral.
UACAGAGGGUGCAAGCGUUGUUCGGAAUUAUUGGGCGUAAAGCGCGUGUAGGCGGCUUUGCAAGUCGGGUGUGAAAUCCCUCAGCUUAACUGAGGAAGUGCGCCCCAAACUGCAGAGCUUGAGUACCGGAGAGGGUGGCGGAAUUCCCCAAGUAGAGGUGAAAUUCGUAGAUAUGGGGAGGAACACCGGUGGCGAAGGCGGCCACCUGGACGGAUACUGACGCUCAUGUGCGAAAGCGUGGGGAGCAAACAGG